AUGCUGCCUUGCCUCGCCCUGCUUCUCCUGAUGGAGCUGCCCGUGUGCACUGUGGCAGGUGAUGGUGGAGAGGAACAGACACUCAGCACUGAAGCAGAGACCUGGGAAGGCGCUGGCCCCAGCAUUCAGCUCCAGCUGCAGGAAGUGAAGACGGGCAAGCCAAGCCAGUUCUUUGGGCUGAUGGGGAAGCGAGUGGGAGGUGAGUG
RNAcentral lists this small RNA (206 nucleotides) under Pongo abelii (Sumatran orangutan). RNAcentral's name for it is "retained intron". Lineage: Eukaryota; Metazoa; Chordata; Mammalia; Primates; Hominidae. The record is from RNAcentral.